Molecule: ribosomal RNA, 468 nt
Filed under: uncultured bacterium
Lineage: Bacteria
Description: partial 16S ribosomal RNA
Rfam family: Bacterial small subunit ribosomal RNA
Source: RNAcentral
GAUGAACGCUGGCGGCGUGCCUAACACAUGCAAGUCGAGCGAUUCUCUUCGGAGAAGAGCGGCGGACGGGUGAGUAACGCGUGGGUAACCUGCCCUGUACACACGGAUAACAUACCGAAAGGUAUGCUAAUACGGGAUAAUAUGUUUUGAUCGCAUGGUCGAAAUAUCAAAGCUCCGGCGGUACAGGAUGGACCCGCGUCUGAUUAGCUAGUUGGUAAGGUAAUGGCUUACCAAGGCGACGAUCAGUAGCCGACCUGAGAGGGUGAUCGGCCACAUUGGAACUGAGACACGGUCCAAACUCCUACGGGAGGCAGCAGUGGGGAAUACUGCACAAUGGGCGAAAGCCUGAUGCAGCAACGCCGCGUGAGCGAUGAAGGCCUUCGGGUCGUAAAGCUCUGUCCUCAAGGAAGAUAAUGACGGUACUUGAGGAGGAAGCCCCGGCUAACUACGUGCCAGCAGCCGCCGUAA